This 997-nucleotide ribosomal RNA is filed under the name Inocybe decipiens. RNAcentral's name for it is "partial large subunit ribosomal RNA". It matches the Rfam family "Eukaryotic large subunit ribosomal RNA", at positions 83 to 1052 of the family's 3401-position model. Lineage: Eukaryota; Fungi; Basidiomycota; Agaricomycetes; Agaricales; Inocybaceae. The record is from RNAcentral.
GUAACUGCGAGUGAAGCGGGAGAAGCUCAAAUUUGAAAUCUGGCAUGUUUAUUUCAAACUGUCCGAGUUGUAAUCUAGAGAAGCGUUACCUGUGCUGGACCGUGUACAAGUCUCCUGGAAUGGAGCAUCACAGAGGGUGAGAAUCCCGUCUUUGACACGGACUACCUGUACGCCGUGGUGCGCUCUCAAAGAGUCGAGUUGUUUGGGAAUGCAGCUCAAAAUGGGUGGUAAAUGCCAUCUAAAGCUAAAUACUGGCGAGAGACCGAUAGCGAACAAGUACCGUGAGGGAAAGAUGAAAAGAACUUUGGAAAGAGAGUUAAACAGUACGUGAAAUUGCUGAAAGGGAAACGCUUGAAGUCAGUCGUGUUGGCUGGAAAUCAGCCUUGCUUUUGCUUGGUGCACUUUCCGGUCCGACGGGUCAGCAUCAAUUUCGACCAUCGGACAAAGUCUCUGGGAACGUGGCAUCCUUUUGGAUGUGUUAUAGCCCGUUGUCGCAUACGGUGGUUGGGAUUGAGGAACUCAGCACGCCUGCAAAGGCCGGGUUUCGACCACGCUUUUUCGUGCUUAGGAUGCUGGCAUAAUGGCUUUAAUCGACCCGUCUUGAAACACGGACCAAGGAGUCUAACAUGCCUGCGAGUGUUUGGGUGGAAAACCCAUGCGCGAAAUGAAAGUGAAAGUUGAGAUCCCCUGUAAAAAAGGGGGAGCAUUGACGCCCGGACCAGAGCUUCUGUGACGGAUCCGCGGUAGAGCAUGUAUGUUGGGACCCGAAAGAUGGUGAACUAUGCCUGAAUAGGGUGAAGCCCGAGAAACUCUGGUGGAGGCUCGUAGCGAUUCUGACGUGCAAAUCGAUCGUCAAAUUUGGGUAUAGGGGCGAAAGACUAAUCGAACCAUCUAGUAGCUGGUUCCUGCGAAGUUUCCCUCAGGAUAGCAGAAACUCAUAUCAGAUUUAUGUGGUAAAGCGAAUGAUUAAAGGCCUUUGGGUUGAACAACCUUAACC